CUACGGAGGGUGCAAGCGUUAAUCGGAAUUACUGGGCGUAAAGCGUACGUAGGCGGUUAGUUAAGUUAGAUGUGAAAGCCCCGGGCUUAACCUGGGAACUGCAUUUAAAACUGGCUAACUAGAGUUAAGUAGAGGGGAGUGGAAUUUCAGGUGUAGCGGUGAAAUGCGUAGAGAUCUGAAGGAACACCAGUGGCGAAGGCGACUCCCUGGACUUGAACUGACGCUGAGGUACGAAAGCGUGGGUAGCAAACGGGAUUAGAAACCCUAGUAGUCC
RNAcentral lists this ribosomal RNA (274 nucleotides) under uncultured bacterium. RNAcentral's name for it is "partial 16S ribosomal RNA". It matches the Rfam family "Bacterial small subunit ribosomal RNA", at positions 523 to 796 of the family's 1533-position model. The record is from RNAcentral.